AAAGCUAACACACCAUCAGCUCCCUCCAUAG
This 31-nucleotide non-coding RNA is filed under the name Mus musculus (house mouse). Lineage: Eukaryota; Metazoa; Chordata; Mammalia; Rodentia; Muridae. The record is from RNAcentral.